GAUGAACGCUGGCGGCGUGCUUAACACAUGCAAGUCGAACGAAACACUUUAUUUGAUUUUCUUCGGGACUGAUUAUUUUGUGACUAAUUGGCGGACGCGUGAGUAACGCGUGGGUAACCUGCCUCGUACAGGGGGAUAACAGUUCGAAACGGCUGCUAAUGCCGCCUAAGGGCACAGAAUCGCAUGAUGCUGUGUGAAAAACUCCGGUGGUAUAAGAUUGACCCGCGUUGGAUUAGCUAGUUGGUGAGGUAACGGCCCACCAAGGCGACGAUCCAUAGCCGACCUGAGAGGGUGACCGGAGACAUUGGGACUGAGACACGGCCCAAAAGCCUGCGGGAGGCAGCAGUGGGGAAUAUUGCACAAUGGGCGAAAGCAUGAUGCAGCGACGCCGCGUGAGCGAAGAAGUAUUUCGGUAUGUAAAGCUCUAUCAGCAGGGAAGAUAAUGACGGUACCUGACUAAGAAGCACCGGCUAAAUACGUG
Molecule: ribosomal RNA, 481 nt
Filed under: uncultured bacterium
Lineage: Bacteria
Description: partial 16S ribosomal RNA
Rfam family: Bacterial small subunit ribosomal RNA
Source: RNAcentral